RNAcentral lists this small RNA (897 nucleotides) under Pongo abelii (Sumatran orangutan). RNAcentral's name for it is "processed transcript". Lineage: Eukaryota; Metazoa; Chordata; Mammalia; Primates; Hominidae. The record is from RNAcentral.
CAGCAGCGUCCGAAGUGAUUAAAUAUGAGUAUCAUGUCUUAUAUUCCUGUAGCUACCAAGUGCCUGUACUUUACUUUAGGGCAAGCUUUUUAGAUGGGAGACCUUUAACUCUGAAGGACAUAUGGGAAGGAGUUCAUGAGUGCUAUAAGACGCGACUGCUACAGGGACCAUGGGACACUAUUACACAACAGGGCCAAAAGAGACACAUUGGCUACUUUGACAACCUUAAAGCGGACUCCAGGAAUAUCACCAACAGCAUGACCUUUGCGACCAAAUCCAGCAACCAGAACUUCAUCGUUUUCCUGGAAUAAAAUAAAAAGUUUAUUUCUGGCGUCAGUGGCGAUCACAAAAAUACUUUCAUGUGAGGAAACUCCCUUGCAUCAGAUUAAAAUGUGAGGGAAGCCACCCCAAGAACAGAAGGUACAAUAGAGUUGAAAUACUCACCUCAAUAAAGUUCAAGCAACCGUCGUUGGGUACAAAGGCUGUGAUUUUCUUGCCAUUCUUGAUCAGCUGGACCCUGACACACUUCCUAAUGGCAGAAUUUGGCUGUUUGGCUUCAACUCCUCUGAAAUACAAAAGGCAUAGCACUGUGAGCUGGCUUUCUGAAAAAGAUAAUUUUUUCACAUUAACUAGAGAACUAAUGAGAAACUGUUUCUGUCUUUUCAAUCUAACCUCAAAUGGCUGAGCUGAAGUCCUGUGAUGUCAACCUGGUUUUCUGCCAGUCUUAAUUUCAUUAGCACAAUGGGGAAAUUUCUAGACCUUUUACAGUUAUAAAAGUAGACUGGAGGGGCAGCGUGGGCCUGUAGUCCCAACUACUUGCGAGGCUGAGGUGGGAGAUCUAUGCCUAGAAGGUCAAGACCGCCAGCCUGUGUAACAAGGGACCCUAUCUCAAAAAAG